UAGGGAAUCUUCCGCAAUGGACGCAAGUCUGACGGAGCAACGCCGCGUGAGUGAAGAAGGAUUUCGGUUCGUAAAACUCUGUUGUUAGAGAAGAACAGCGCAUAGAGUAACUGUUAUGCGUGUGACGGUAUCUAACCAGAAAGCCACGGCUAACUACGUGCCAGCAGCCGCGGUAAUACGUAGGUGGCAAGCGUUGUCCGGAUUUACUGGGCGUAAAGCGAGCGCAGGCGGUCAAUUAAGUCUGAUGUGAAAGCCCCCGGCUCAACCGGGGAGGGUCAUUGGAAACUGGUUGACUUGAGUGCAGAAGAGGGGAGUGGAAUUCGAUGUGUAGCGGUGAAAUGCGUAGAUAUAUGGAGGAACACCAGUGGCGAAGGCGACUCUCUGGUCUGUAACUGACGCUGAGGCUCGAAAGCGUGGGUAGCAAACAGG
This 429-nucleotide ribosomal RNA is filed under the name Bacteroidota bacterium. RNAcentral describes it as "Bacteroidetes bacterium partial 16S ribosomal RNA". It matches the Rfam family "Bacterial small subunit ribosomal RNA", at positions 355 to 776 of the family's 1533-position model. Lineage: Bacteria; Pseudomonadati; Bacteroidota. The record is from RNAcentral.